CUCCGCCAAAAUGUCCUCCUCCAAAGUAUCCACCCAAACAUCCUCCCAUUGUGAGGCCUCCGUUUCACCCUAAACCACCGAAACAUCCUCCCCAUCCUCCAAAGCCGCCCAAGCCUCCUGUCGUAAAGCCUCCUUAUGUGCCCAAACCUCCAGUUGUAAAGCCUCCGCCUCAUAUACCGAAGCCUCCCUAUGUACCCAAACCUCCUGUUGUAAAGCCUCCGCCUCAUGCACCGAAGCCUCCCUAUGUACCCAAACCUCCUGUAGUAAAGCCUCCGCCUUACACCCCGAAGCCUCCCUAUGUACCCAAACCUCCAGUUGUAAAGCCUCCACCCUAUACACCAAAACCUCCAGUUGUAAAGCCUCCACCUUAUCCACCAAAACCUCCAGUUGUAAAACCACCCUACGUGCCGGUGCCCACGCCACCAUAUGUACCCAAGCCCCCACCUUAUGUACCGAAACCCCCCAUCGUGCCUGUAC
This 477-nucleotide long non-coding RNA is filed under the name Theobroma cacao (cacao). Its description in RNAcentral is "long non-coding RNA (TCAC_LNC000176)". The record is from RNAcentral. Lineage: Eukaryota; Viridiplantae; Streptophyta; Magnoliopsida; Malvales; Malvaceae.